GACGAACGCUGGCGGCGUGCCUAAUACAUGCAAGUCGAACGCAUUUUCUUUCACCGUAGCUUGCUACACCGAAAGAAAAUGAGUGGCGAACGGGUGAGUAACACGUGGGUAACCUGCCCAUCAGCGGGGGAUAACACUUGGAAACAGGUGCUAAUACCGCAUAAUUCCAUUUACCGCAUGGUAAAUGGAUGAAAGGCGCUUUUGCGUCACUGAUGGAUGGACCCGCGGUGCAUUAGCUAGUUGGUGGAGUAACGGCCUACCAAGGCUGCGAUGCAUAGCCGACCUGAGAGGGUGAUCGGCCACACUGGGACUGAGACACGGCCCAGACUCCUACGGGAGGCAGCAGUAGGGAAUCGUCGGCAAUGGACGCAAGUCUGACCGAGCAACGCCGCGUGAGUGAAGAAGGUUUUCGGAUCGUAAAACUCUGUUGUUAGAGAAGAACAAGGAUGAGAGUGGAAAGUUCAUCCCUUGACGGUAUCUAACCAGAAAGCCACGGCUAACUACGUG
This 507-nucleotide ribosomal RNA is filed under the name uncultured bacterium. Its description in RNAcentral is "partial 16S ribosomal RNA". It matches the Rfam family "Bacterial small subunit ribosomal RNA", at positions 28 to 507 of the family's 1533-position model. The record is from RNAcentral.